RNAcentral lists this small RNA (84 nucleotides) under Klebsiella pneumoniae. RNAcentral's name for it is "partial RtT sRNA". It matches the Rfam family "RtT RNA", at positions 48 to 130 of the family's 130-position model. From Rfam's summary of the family: This family represents a bacterial cis-regulatory element known as RtT RNA. Lineage: Bacteria; Pseudomonadati; Pseudomonadota; Gammaproteobacteria; Enterobacterales; Enterobacteriaceae. The record is from RNAcentral.
UCGAGCGAAGCGAGAGAACGUUGCCGCAGGCAAUGGCCCGAAGGCGAGGCGCUUUAGCGCCGAGUAAUCCUUCCCCCACCACUU